CGGACGCAGUUGCGUGAGGGAUUCCUGCUGUCCUCAGUGCUGUGGAGCAGAGCUUGUUCCUCUCCAGCCCAGCCAUGCAGGUUGAAUUGACCAAAUCAAUGGUGAUGGAGAAGCCUAGUCCCCUGCUGGUCGGGCGGGAAUUUGUGAGACAGUAUUACACACUGCUGAACCAGGCUCCAGACAUGCUGCAUAGAUUUUAUGGAAAGAACUCGUCUUAUGUCCAUGGGGGACUGGAUUCAAACGGAAAGCCAGCAGAUGCAGUCUAUGGGCAGAAGGAAAUCCAUAGGAAAGUUAUGUCACAAAACUUCACCAACUGCCACACCAAGAUUCGCCAUGUUGAUGCUCAUGCCACUCUGAAUGAUGGUGUGGUGGUCCAGGUGAUGGGACUUCUCUCCAGUAAUAACCAGGCUUUGAGGAGGUUCAUGCAGACGUUUGUUCUUGCUCCUGAGGGCUCUGUUGCAAAUAAGUUCUAUGUUCACAAUGAUAUCUUCAGAUACCAAGAUGAGGUCUUUGGUGGCUUUGUCACUGAGCCUCAGGAGGAAUCUGAGGAAGAAGUAGAGGAACCUGAAGAAAGACAACAAACACCUGAGGUGGUACCUGAUGAUUCUGGAACUUUCUAUGAUCAGACUGUUGUCAGUAAUGACAUGGAAGAACAUUUAAAGGAGCCUGUUGCUGAGCCAGGGCCUGAGCCUGAACCAGAACCAGAGCAGGAACCUGUAUCUGAAAUCCAAGAGGAAAAGUCUGAGCCAGUUUUAGAAGAAACUUCUCCUGAGGAUGCUCAGAAGAGCUCUUCUCCUGCACCUGCAGACAUAGCUCAGACAGUGCAGGAAGACUUGAGGACGUUUUCUUGGGCAUCUGUGACCAGUAAGAACCUUCCACCCAGUGGAGCUCUUCUGGUUACUGGGAUACCACCUCAUGUUGUUAAAGUGCCAGCUUCACAGCCCCGUCAAGAGUCUAAGCCUGAAUCUCAGAUUCCACCACAGAGACCUCAGAGGGAUCAAAGAGUGCAAGAACAACGAAUAAAUAUUCCUCCCCAGAGGGGACCCAGACCAAUCCGGGAGUCUGGUGAGCAAGGCGAUGUUGAACCCCGAAGAAUUGUGUGACACCCGGACAGUCACCAGCUCUUUACUGGCAACCUGCCUCAUGAAGUGGACAAAGCAGAGCUGAAUGAUUUCUUUCAGAAUUAUGGGAAUGUUGUGAAGCUGCGCAUUAACAGCGGUGGGAAAUUACCCGAUUUUGGUUUUGUUGUGUUUGACGAUUCUGAACCUGUUCAAAAGGUCCUUAGCAACAGGCCUAUCAUGUUCAGAGGUGAGGUCCGUCUGAAUGUGAAAGAAAAGACGCGAGCUGCCAGGGAAGGAGACCGUCGAGAUAACCGCCUUCGGGGAUCUGGAGGCCCUCGAGGUGGGCUGGGUGGUGGAAUGAGAGGCCCUCCCCAUGGAGGCAUGGUGCAGAAACCAGGAUUUGGAGUGGGCCGGGGGAUCGCUCCACGGCAGUGA
RNA transcript from Carlito syrichta (Philippine tarsier), 1496 nucleotides. It is a transcript of the gene named ras GTPase-activating protein-binding protein 1 pseudogene, with no coding region annotated. The transcript has a single exon. The record is from RefSeq and is a predicted model, not a curated record. NCBI's taxonomy places the organism in Eukaryota, Metazoa, Chordata, Mammalia, Primates, Tarsiidae.